Molecule: long non-coding RNA, 903 nt
Organism: Hemicordylus capensis (graceful crag lizard)
Lineage: Eukaryota; Metazoa; Chordata; Lepidosauria; Squamata; Cordylidae
Exons: 3
Source: RefSeq, a predicted model, not a curated record
GACAGAGCGAGUGAUAGAGCUGUGGGAGGACCAGCCAAACGAAUUCUCCCUACUAGACCCAAAAAGGAAGUGAACCACCGCACAGAUGCUCUUUGCGGGUUCAGCUGGUACCUUUUUAUUGUACAAGGGGGCUGUCCAUCUGAAUGGCACCUCUCUAUGCACUUCAGUUACUUGUGUAAAGGGGCUAUUCAGAUGAACAGACCCCCCCAUGACAAAGGGAUGUGCUUAGAGGGGCCCUUCAUGUAAUCAAGAGACAUGCUGGGACAUCCAUGGAGAAUGUCAUGAUGAAUUGGCUCUCGGCGCGUACCCUUCCUCAUUCACAUGGGCCGAAACCACAUCCUGGACACUAUCAAGACUUGAGUAUGGCUUCAUCAAGCUCUGCAGUGAAAUGAGAUGUGACAUCACAGUCCAAGACCUCAAAGAAGCACUGAUUCAGAGGCAUCAGUCGUACCAGCCCCCAACUCACCAGACACACUGACUCAUAUGACCCUUGCAGCCACAACAUCUCAGUGAAGAGGCCGUGUGUAAUUGCCAACGUGGAAACAAGGUUGCAUAUGAUGCUCUAACUGGGGAAAAAUUCAGUCGGCUGGGAGUGAUUCCUCUCCAGUCAUUCCUUAUACUACCUAUAUCCUUUUGCCCCAUGGGACAAAUAGCAGCUUUAAGGAGGCAAUUUAGAUGGGGAAAAUGGCCCUAGAGGAAAGUGCUGGGCCUUCUUCCUCCAGCAUCAUGGACCCAAUCUAAAUGGUGGGGCAGCAGGUGCAGACAGUGGUUGCAUUUAGCCUUUAGAUAACAACUAUCAUGUCUAAUUGGGUCCUCAGAAUUUCCAAGUACUCAGGUUGCUUAGUUGACAAAUGUAUCUGUUUCAUUGGUUUACCUGUUGCAGAAGUAGUAAUAUAAACAUGU